AAGAUCAUAUGUGAGGAUGAUGGUCAUUUAACAGGUGGCAGCAAUGUGGGUAGAGGAAGACUCAACUCCUUCCUACAACACAGGGCAGAAAUUAAUACUUAUAAAGGUAAACUUGACUUAAAAAAGAAAAUAUUAUGGUGAAUCUACUCUGAUUAUGAAGAAUGGAGAAAUGUGGUAUAUGUUUCAGACCAGAUAGAUUUCUAUCAGAAGUAUUUUUAAAAAUAUUUACGUUAGGGUGCUUAAAUAUAUAACCUUCUAUGAUCUAGAACACUGACAAAUAUGUAUAACCCUUCUCCAGCAAUCCUGAAUAGUGUAUAUAGUACACAACUGCCCCAUUUUAGUAUUGCAUUGCAAAAGAACAAACACAACAUUUUUAAAUACUUUUAGUUCACAUUUUUUAAUGUUUAAAAACUAUGUUAACAGAGCAGUUAUAGAACAGAACUUCUUAUAUUUCUUUAUUUACACCACACUCUGAAAAAAAAAACCCAGUUCUAUUUGAUUAACUAUGAAUAGCAAAGUUUUGUGACUUGUGACUCACUUAAAUCACCCAUCUGAAAUUCAUUUACAAGGUUUUUACAUUAAUAAAACAGUAGUGUGGUACAUGUAUUGGACUCAGAUGAAGUCUAAAGUACACUGGACUCUAGAGAGUGGAUUACAUACCAACGACCAAGAUUCAAGUGUUUGGGGAAAAAAAUACCUUAGACAGUCUAUGUUGGCGUCAACACUAAAAUAAAAGGCAAACAUGCAGGACUUUCAAAGCUUGAUUAGAUAAUGGUUCUUUGUUUUCUUUCCUUCAAAUUUGUGCUCAUAAUUAAUAUUCAGGUUCCCUCUCCCCGCUUUCAUAGAUCCCAAAGUUUGAGAAAUGCAGCAAUUCAAUUGUGAAAAAAACAUUCUUCUCCCCAGCUUCUGUUUUCAUAUGUACUGUGUAGUGGUAUCAGUGUUAAAAAUGGAAGAUCAUUAUGAAGAAACAAUUUGUCAUUUGGGUAUAUCUGUUUCUAUAGGACAAGGAUUUGUGUCUAAAUAUUCCUUACUUGUAUCUCAGAGGACUAUCUGUUAAAUAAUUGAUCUUAAUGCCAGCAUAAGAAAUCAAGGGAACUAUUUCUCAGACAUUUCUUUCUCUAAAUUAAGUAGGGUUUCAGGUUCCAAGUUUACAUUGAGAGAACUAUGUUACCUGGGAGAGAAUGUAAAUUUUUCUAAUUCCCAAACAAAACCACUAAUUUCUAGGAAACAUUUAUUGUUUAUAUGCAGAUCCUAGAGACUUCUAUUUCAGUGCAGAUCAACAACUUCAAAAAUAUACAGCCUCCUAUUUAUUUACAAUAAUAUUUACAUACAAAUGAAGUAUUUCCUGCAAUAAGCCUCAGCUGCAUAGAUUCUUCCUUUAAAAACGUAAAUUUGAGCCUGUAUACAGAUGGGCCCAGUUUCAUAGCCCUUCCUUAGAUAAAAGCCUAAAGAAGGAAAAUGUCUGCACCUUGUGAACUUUACAUAUUUUGCAAGAACUUUCUCUUUGAGAUUUAGUGAUAGUUUUUAGUUGUUAGACACCCCACCUUCAGCUUGUACCUGAAAGCUUUAUCUCGUUAUAAAUAAUUCACUGUAAUUUAGGGGAAGUAUGUCCUGUUGCUAAAGGAUUCUCAAACCUGCCAUCCCCAAGGAAAAUCAUGUAUUAGUAUUGCUAAAUGAUGGUCUGUAUAUUCUUUGUUUUGAAGGUGGCUAGAUGUUUGCUGUAAACUUGAAUGGGAGAAUUAUAUUCUUAAAGUUUACACCCCCUAUAAGCCUAAAGCCAUUUAAAUUGAUAAACUGAGAGAGACUAAUAGAUUUUGCUCUAAGGUAUAAAAUCCAUUAUCUGAUCAAAUUCAGUAUUUCUUCUAAGUCUGCAUUUACAAAGGGUCUUUUAUUUUAAUUUCUUUCACAACUGCCUCGCCCCAACCAAAGCCUCACUUUCAUUUCCUCACAGCUUUAAAAAAUAAAAUAUUAUCAUGCCUCAGCCCGAGGUAACACCGAGUGCAGGCAGCCUGUGUUUAGGAAUUUGCACCUGCGCUGCUAUUUUCAACGAGAAGGGGAUAACCAGGUGGCAGCGCUGGAUUCACUCACUUUCUUGCCAUUGCAGAGACCCCUGCCGCCAGGCUCCUUUCCUCCCCUCCCUAAAGCCUGGCUCCUGUAUGUUGCACCAUGAGUCCUAGGAAUCAUCUGGUGAGGGAGGACUAAUGGGAAGUAAAAGGGAGACUCAUUGGCUUAGGGUGGUUCUCAAACUUGAUGCGCUUUAGAAUCAUUUGCUGAGUCCCUCCCUGAGAGCUUCUGACUUCACCAUGUCUGGGAGGGGGCUGAGAAUCUGCAUUCUAAUGAGGUCCCCGAUGAUGCUGAUGCUACUGGUCUAGGGGCCACACUUUGAGAACCACUGGCUUAGAGGCAUGAAUCAAGCUCUAGAAAGCAGUCAGUUCCAGGGUAAUAGUCUUAGGUGCUCGCCGAAGCACUGAGGAAUCUUACCACAACCCUGUGUCCACCACAAGCCCUAUCACCAUCACCCAUCUGGGUGCUUCUUUUUCUCAACAGGGUCUGUAACUGUAAAAAAGGAAAGUGGGUGGAGAGGUUUUUUUUUCCCCCUUUUUUCUUGUUUUCUAACCUCCCAGCUUAUUCCUGGAGAGUUAAAACACAGUUACUAGCACUAAAAACAUUAAAAGUGCUGCGCGCUGGCCUCAAUGACUGGUACAUUGGAGAAGCUAUGCAGCAGCAUCCUUUUCUGUGGUGGGCAGGGCAGGAGAUGAACCAUAGGAGCCAAAAGUCAGACAAACAGAAGAAGGCACACCAAGCCUGAACCCUCCGGACAACAGCAGAGUUACCAGCUGAGGGAUGUCCCUGGAGGUUUCUGACCCAUGAGAGGCCCCCUCACCCUCCUUCACCCUCCUCCUACCACCAAGCUCUCCAGCAGUCAUGGACUUAUUCCUCCCCGUUUUUACUGGACACCAUGUUUCAGGCCAAUCUGGUCACCUGUAGUCUGGUGGCAUCUCUACCCCUACUGUCCAGUAGGUGGGAUGUGGCUGGGAUGGACAGUCCAGAUUCUACUAACAGGCAACUCUGAACAAACACCCUCCCUGGAAACAAUAUUAUAUUUGAUGGUUAGAUUCUUUAGCAAACCUAUUACAUUAUUCGAUGUCAGCUAACCUAUUGGUUUGAUCAUCUUUUCCAGCUGCUCUAGGGGCCUAACCACCAUGGAUAACCUGGUCUCUAAAGGAAAAUACAUUCCAGGUUGCAAACAACCAACUGACAACCUUUUGGAAUAUGAUCUCCUUAUACACUGGGGCUGCCUGUGCCUAAACACAGUAGAUUUCCCUCCUGUGCGUAUUUCAUCAGCCCCACUUCCAAUAAGUAACAUUAAGUAAAUUAGGGAUUGACAGUAUUCUGUGUUACAAUAACUAGAGAACAGUUCUAAGUCCAAAGUGUGGAACUGGCACUGUUCACUAGUAUAGAGAUCCUACCUACCAAAGGAAAACGUGCUGCUCCCCAUGCCUAGGGUAUAGUAUUCUUUAAUCUACUAAUUUAGCAGAAAAACUUCCAUAGCACUUGACUGUGCUGUUUAAAUUCGACCUAACAUCUGUGAUACAUGUAUUUUUGGCUACCAAUUAACUAUUCUGAAUAAGAAUAAGAGCAGUAUACUUUACAGCUAAUCUCACACAAAGGAUGUAACUAAUCAGUGAUAUUUGACGAAUUAUGGUAGGGUCUAUUAUAUUCAGUCAACAACAAAUUUAGAGAAACAUACAAAGGUUUUUAAAAAUAUGGGUGGUGUCACACAGAUCAACAACACUGUGCCUCCUCUAAAUAAAUCUAUUUUAAAUAAAUAUUCCUUGUAUUGACACAUGAAACCCAGAGGCCCAAAAAUAUCACUACACAUCCCAGUUAAUGAUAAGGUUCUAAAUUGACUUUGUGAGGGUAAAAUGAAUUGCUAUAAAGUAACAAGGAAAAUAGAAAGUAGCAUAAUAUAGCUUGCAAACUAAAUUAUGUAUUUUUAAAGGUACAGUCAUCCCACUACCUGGCUAUUUCAUUACUUGGUGCUCUAGACAAGCUCCCAAGAACUGACUGGAUCUUGGCUUGUUCUGUUUCUGUCAUUGCUAAUAUAAUAUGGAAAACAUUGCUGAAAAGAACAGAGAUGGCCAUGGAUAUGGCUAGGUUAGGUAUUCAUAUCCAAAUAUCUGAACUCUAACCUAAUGUGGAUAUGAUUCUGUAGCAUUAUAUUAAAAGCUAUGAUGAUGCAAUGCAGGAAAUAACCUUUCAUUCUCCCCCCUAGAGGAUCACGACAGGUGCUUCAAUGCCUGCCUUAUCUAUGGGACAGUAGUGUGAUUCUCAGUGAGAGUGAAGGCCUUUGGGGAUUUGAGUCAGGAAGGGAACAUGGCUAAGUGCCUGGAAACUCUGCCAACAGUCUGCGGUUAGAUUCUACUUGUCUCUGGAUAAGAAAUCUGUGCUCAGUGAACUUAUGUGUUUGGAAAAUUUAACCAGAAUAUAGAGGAAGCAUAAGUCCUGUUUCAAGAGACCAGCUCACGGAGCAUGCACAUUUCUCACCAUAGGCAAGCUAUGGACAAUUCAAUCACAUGGGAUGGCCCCACUUAGGGGAAUGCAGUUCUGGGUUUCCUUGCUAUCCCUAUUCUUUUUCAGCUACAAACUCUCUUCUUUUUCAGUCUCUUCAGUUUCCUUGUGCUCCCUUUAGGAGAGGGACAAGGGUAAGAGUACCAGGCAACUCUGUCCUCCUGCAUGGACAGUUGAGACGGGCAGUAAUGGCACAGUCCUUGGUUGGGGAAGAGAAGAGGAGACAGCACAGACACUGAGACCCCCUUGUCUUCCUCAUCUGGGGGAAGGAAGGUACUCAGUGAUUCUGUCAGAAGCUCUUCACAAAGACUAUCUCUGAGGGUUUUUUUUUUUUUUUUUUCACAAGACUAGAUGGAGAAUUAAUGAAGAAGAAAUAGAAAUGAGGCUUAUUUAAGGUACAAAAUUCUUGUAUUUGUAAUAACCUAGAUUUAUAGAUAUAAAACAAGUCUUUUAAAGACUUCCCUAAAAUACUCAAUAUAAAACAGGAGUUACUUAUCCU
Molecule: long non-coding RNA, 5071 nt
Filed under: Homo sapiens (human)
Lineage: Eukaryota; Metazoa; Chordata; Mammalia; Primates; Hominidae
Description: HSALNT0188172
Source: RNAcentral